AACAUGCAGACCUUCUGUCCUCCAUUCCAGUCUCACUGUGGCUGGGUAAAUGUCUAUCCAGAGUAAGGCACAUGGAAUCUGAACCAAUGAGGUCUGGAGCUAACGUUAAUGCAGUUAAGCCCAUCAGCCCUCGUGACUCAUAAGAAUAAACCACUGUCGCUUGGCUUGCUGAAGACAAGACAAAACCUCCCCAAAUUCCUUUGCCUGGGACAUGCAGGAUUUUAAGGAAGACAGCGGCAGGGCAGUCCAGGAGGAUGGCGGAGCUGUGCUGUCUGUGAACCAGGGAUUGGUGUUGCUGCUCACUGUGAGUUUCAUGAGAGAGAAAUUUCCUUAUGUUUCAUGUCCAUGUGGGUCCCCAGUGCCAGGGAGCCCCUGUUUCCCUGUCUCCCCAUCUCAGUGCUCUGUUGAGGGCUAAUGAGGCUGGGUACAGAGCUGAGGGAGGAGAAGUAGGAGUCUGUGUUAGAUUAACUCUGCGUCACCUCUUGUAGCACAUGUGACCUCCUUGAGUCUCAAUUUCCAGUGAUGGGGUUAUUGUGAGGGGCAUCACAGAGCAGGGGGGGUUGUAAGUGUGCAGCCGCUCUCUGAGUCCCCCAGCCAUUUCCCCCACAUCCCUCUGGGAUUGGCCUUUGUGAUGUUGGGAACUAAGAAGGUGUUGGAGAUGGCUUGGGUGCUGUGCCGCUGUCAUCAGAGGAGACCAAAGUUAGGCAGGAAGCACUGUGAAGGCCUGUAAUGUUCCAGCGGCCUGGACUGGACACUUCUAGUGGCUCACUGUCAAAGGCUCUCGAUGUAGGAAGCUCCAGCUGCCUGGGCGAGGCCAGGCACGCAGGAUCCAAAGAUAAAGGCAUGCCCUUUAGUUGCUGUGUCUUGGCAUAGGCCUCUGAAGCAGGGACUGAGUCCAGGAACACAGGCCAUUUGGCCAGCAUUUACAUCUGGCCCGGAAACGAAGCUCCCAUGGCUCUGGGACUUGUCUAUAUCAAAAUCCAGAUGUCAGGGUCUGCCUGGGCAGAGUCCAGGGCUCCUGGAUUCUAAGACCAAAGCUCUUCUGGCACUGGGAUCUGCUCACUUCCUCCCAUGCUGCUGCUUCUCUUUUUAUUUGUCAUCUCUCUAUCUAUCUAUCUAUCGAUCUAUCUAUCUAUUAUUAAUUUUUUGAGACGGUGUUUCUCUGUGUAACAGUCCUAGCUGUCCUAGAACUCGCUCUUGUAGACCAGGCUGGCUUCAAACACACAGAGAUCUACCUGCCUCUGUCUACCGAAUGCACCCAGAAAGGCAUGCAGCACCAGCCUCUCCCCAGUCCUCGGCCAGAGCGAGCACGUUACCCCUCAGCCCCAUUUGCAGGAGCAGGACAGUGCACCCAGCCAGAAAGCCGCGGCCUAGAGGUCUACCGUGAUUCCUGCCCCGAGCAUCUCAAAAGCCGAGCGGUGCAGGGCACGGUGUUCGCUUACCCUCUACCUCCCGCUCACCUCUCCUCCGUGGGUCCCUCCUCUCCUCCGUGGGGCCCGCCCUCUCCUCCGUGGGUCCCGCCUCUCCUCCGUGGGGCCCUCCUCUUCUCCGUGGGUCCCGCCUCUUCUCUGUGGUGUCUGCCUUCCCUACGCGGUGUCUACAUCCCUUCCACGGCCCACAGGAUAGGGCCAGUUUUCCUCCCUUUUAAUAAAUUGGCUCGCUAAUUUUUUGUGGAAGCUGCUUGGAGUUUUCCAGAUUCGCCUGAAGAUACCUAACUUUCCCGGCGGAGCACGAUAACUACAGCAUACUUUCAAGGCCUGCAGGCCAGGCUCUCCCACCCUUCUGCCACCUGGCCUGCAGUCCAGACUCCACUAACUGCAGACUUGUGUCCGUGGAACACACCCUGCCUAUCUUCAAGUGACCCUGAAUAAGAACAUUCUGUGGCCUGGUUACUAGGCAACGACCCCUCCCUCAUUGUCCUGCAUUCCUCUGCCCCCAUCCCCCUGCCUCAUUUCCCUAUAUAAGCUUGUAUGAAAUCCUCAAUAAACAGAGCUCAAUCA
Molecule: long non-coding RNA, 2000 nt
Organism: Mesocricetus auratus (golden hamster)
Lineage: Eukaryota; Metazoa; Chordata; Mammalia; Rodentia; Cricetidae
Exons: 3
Source: RefSeq, a predicted model, not a curated record